CCUACGGGAGGCAGCAGUGGGGAAUAUUGCACAAUGGGCGAAAGCCUGAUGCAGCAACGCCGCGUGAAGGAAGAAGGCCUUCGGGUCGUAAACUUCUGUCCUUGGGGAAGAAGAACUGACGGUAUGCAAGGAGGAAGCCCCGGCUAACCACGUGCCAGCAGCCGCGGUAAUACGUAGGGGGAAAGCGUUAUCCGGAAUUAGUGGGCGUAAAGAGUACGGAGGUGGUAACCUAAGCGGAGGGUGUAAGGCAAGGGCUCAACCCAUGUUCGCCCUGCGAACUGGGAUGCUUGAGUGCAGGAGAGGAAAGCGGAAGUCCUAGUGUAGCGGUGAAAUGCGUAGAUAUUAGGAGGAACACCAGUGGCGAAGGCGGCUUUCUGGACUGUAACUGACACUGAGGUACGAAAGCGUGGGGAGCAAACAGGAUUAGAUACCCGAGUAGUC
This 441-nucleotide ribosomal RNA is filed under the name uncultured bacterium. RNAcentral describes it as "partial 16S ribosomal RNA". It matches the Rfam family "Bacterial small subunit ribosomal RNA", at positions 338 to 795 of the family's 1533-position model. The record is from RNAcentral.